RNAcentral lists this ribosomal RNA (512 nucleotides) under uncultured bacterium. RNAcentral's name for it is "bacterial SSU rRNA". It matches the Rfam family "Bacterial small subunit ribosomal RNA", at positions 15 to 518 of the family's 1533-position model. The record is from RNAcentral.
GAUUCUGGCUCAGGAUGAACGCUAGCGAUAGGCUUAACACAUGCAAGUCGAGGGGCAGCACGGUGUAGCAAUACACUGGUGGCGACCGGCGUACGGGUGCGUAACACGUAUGCAACCUACCCGCUAUUGGGGGAUAACCCGGCGAAAGUCGGACUAAUACCCCAUAUUAUUCUUACCGGGCAUCCGGUAGGUCUGAAAGAUUUAUCGAUUGCGGAUGGGCAUGCGGAUGAUUAGCUAGUAGGUGGGGUAACGGCUCACCUAGGCGACGAUCAUUAGGGGUUCUGAGAGGAAGGUCCCCCCACACUGGAACUGAGACACGGUCCAGACUCCUACGGGAGGCAGCAGUGAGGAAUAUUGGUCAAUGGGCGCUAGCCUGAACCAGCCAAGUCGCGUGAAGGAUGACAAGAUCUAUGGUUUGUAAACUUCUUUUGCAGGGGAGUAAAGUGCGACACGUGUGUUGUAUUGCAAGUACCCUGCGAAUAAGCAUCGGCUAACUCCGUGCCAGCAGCCGC